Long non-coding RNA from Columba livia (rock pigeon), 4373 nucleotides. RefSeq lists it as uncharacterized. The transcript has 2 exons. The record is from RefSeq and is a predicted model, not a curated record. Lineage: Eukaryota; Metazoa; Chordata; Aves; Columbiformes; Columbidae.
AUGAAACAUUGAAUGCAACUCUGUACUAUGGAGGGUAGCUCUCUGGAUUUGACACACAAGUCAAAUAGAAAGUUGAGUGUAAGAAUAUAGAAGACACCCUUUACUUUCCUGCUGAGCUUUAACCUCUAUGACAGAUGCAGCUCCUGCCUGUCAUGAUAAGGUUGGCACUGCAGGGCUGUCUGCCUUGUGGCUUUGAAUGCUGCCCUCGUAACCAUCUCAUAGAGGAAAGAGAGCAGAAGAAAGAGCUGCUACCUGAAACACGUAAGACCACUAUGAUCCAUGCAUUAAGCCUUGAGGGCAUGUCUAAUGCAGCCUUUCCAGCCUCCACGUGUUUGGAAGUGAGCGAACAAAGCAAGCAUCUCCCAUGAUCAAAAGUGCGUGCUGCUUUAGUUGAGUUGUAGGUAUUUUAGCAGCUGUUUUUUGUUGUUUAAAUAGACUAACCACAAAGUGCUUUUUCUCUUGAAAUGUCUAGCUUCUGGUUCCUUGUUUUUUCACCCCGCUCAAGAGAAAGUAAUUCUCGUGACUGCUGUCUCUCCCUCCCAGGCUCUCUCAGAUAACGCUCCACAUCCCACCAGCUCUCAGCCGCUUGGUUUGUGUGUCUUUCAGCAGGCCAUCUCUGAGGUUGGACCAUUGGGAUGGAGGGACAGAAAUGAUGGAUCUGUGGCCCUGCUGAAGCUCACAGCCCUGCCGAUUCCACUAGCCUUUCUUCGCGUAUACUCAGCUGCAUGGAGUGCACAGGACACAGCAUCUUUUCUGCCAGUUUACCCAUGAACUCAUAGCUCUACUGUAGGUUUUUCUUGUCCUGAAAUAAGCGAAUACACCUACCAGGUAAGAUCACAUGAAUUAUAGUGUGUCAUCUAGAGGUGGUCUAACUCCUAAUAUUUUAAAAAACAAAAUUUACUUAAGACCCUCUUCCCAUCAAUUCAUUUGUAUUGUUUAGAAGUUAGUUCUUACCAGGAGUACUGCAGAUGGGAUAUAAAAGAUUUGGGUAGGGACCUUUUGCUCAUACAGUCUUUUGUUGAAUUCUGUCACAUAGUCCUGGGCAGUCAUUUGCCGUUCCACAUCACUGAAAUGAUGAAGAAGCCCCUUUUCUUGUUUAUAUUCUUUCCCGACAUACCUAAACAACACAGUGAUACAGAAACAUCACUACAAAGCAGAGCUCAGCUUUUCAGAAGCAAAGUCAGCUGUUGGUGGUAUGUUUAAAAUGGCAGUGUUUUUUUUUCUUUUAUAGCUCUUAGAGACAUAAAAUAUUGUACUGAUCAAUCAAAUCCUAUGAUGGGGGUGUUUAAAGUCAGCUCUUCUUGACUUUGUAUGGAGAUCCUAUUUAGAGAUACUUAAAAUACUAUUCUUAACCCAUAAGAAUUCUUAAGCUGCUUCUAGUAACAAUGCAAAACCUGCAACUAGCAGUUAUCAGAGCUCUUCUGGUGCACAGGCCUUUAUCAAGCAAAUAGUUGAUUUUAAUCCUGCUUUCAGAGAAGAUGCAUCCAUUGCAUAAACCCACAGCUAAAAUUAAAGAAAAGCAACUUAAACACCUUUUUGCCUAUAGGUGUUGAGAUAUUUACAUAUAUAUAUCUGUAUAUCUUGCUAUGUGUAUAUGUAGAUAUAGCUAUAUUACUAAUUCUCUAAUGCAAUGCUAGAGGUCAAGUUAAACGGAAGAAACAUUUAAGAUCUCAUGAGAUUAUCCCAGCACAGACAAAAGCGAAGUGAGGCCUAAGAGCUGUCAUGAGAAAAGAGGCACUAACGUGGCAGUUAGAAAACAACAGUGAAGUAGAUUUUUCUUCCCAGAAAUUCAACAGUAGAGACUUACAUGGGGUGAUGGGAAGAAUUAGCAUAGUAGAGAUUGCCAAAGUGCCCAAGAGAUUUGGGAAAGCCAUAAAACAUUCUUGCUACAGGAAACCACUCGAAAUCUAACCAAACGUAAACUAGGUUGAAACAGAAUAGAAAAGCAUCAAUCUUCUCCCACUGUAACUAUGAUUUCUGUAGCUGUCCAAGUAAAAACUUGUACUAUCUUCUGUACUUGCUAAAAGCUACUGUCCAACAAGGCACUGGACUAGUUGAAUCAUAGGUAUAAGGCAAACCUUACCAGACAGUUUCCAUUCAUAUUUACAUAGAAGUAGCAUUAAUAAACAUUUUGUUUCAGAAAUUGGUUUGGUCAAUACCUUCCCAGGCUUUCUUCUUGGUGCAGGAAGUGUAUCCAAAAUGCACUUCUCUGUUUGCCUUCCUUUGCCACGUUCAGGUAGUCUCCAAUGAAUACAGCUGUUUCUUGGCCUGUCCACAGGCCCGAUUUCUUUGAGUACUUUAAAAGAAGAGCUGCUACAAAAAGAAAACACCAUAGGUAUAAGAGAUAGUUCCACAGGACAGCUCUAAGCCUGUGCUGAGGAUAUGCAGCCUCCUCUGAAAGCAAAGUAUUGGUCUAUAAAAUAUACAGUAAGAGAUAUCUAGAUGCAGAAUUGGAUAUUCUACAUCAAUGACAAAAAGUGGGGCUUGAGACAUGCAAGAUGGGAUGAGCCCUAAGUGGGUUGUACUUACUGAGUUCAAUGAGGCAUCCUAUAGCGGUGCUGCUCCUAGCUUCUGUAUUUCUUAGUAUAUUGAUCAAGUGUCUGUAUAUUAAGGUAUGGUAAAUAAAUAGGGCCAUUAUUUAUGAUUAAUUUAAUAAUAAUUAUCUCACAUGUGGUUUUCGGGGAUGAAAUGUGGAAUCUAAAUGGGCAACAAAACCAGAGACUCAAGUAAUGGUGCAGAAAGAACUUGAUGAACUGGCACAAGGGAGUUCAAGCAGCCUGAGUUACCUCUAGUAUGAAGGGACUGAAGCAGGAGGGACUGAGUGGGCAUGAAGGAGCCCAUUUCCAUGAGGCUGGGACUGAUGUGCAAAGGGGAAAGAAUGAAUAGAAGAAAAUGUUUCAAGGGAACUAUGCUAUUACUAGAUGCUACUAGUAUGUAGUUAGUUAGUUACUAGUAUGCUAUAACUAAAAUUCUUGUACAGAAACUCAUAAACCAACAGAAAUGAAGUCCUAAUAAAUGAUGACUAAAACAUUGCUAGAAAGCCUCAGUCAAGACUGUUCUCUGUAGGAGCACCUGUUGUUGUGUGAAAAUGCCCACUGCUGUAUGGAAACUUACAGUAUGCUUUAUGAAGCUGAUUAGGCUUAAAAAUUCCAGUAGGCAUCAGUCUCUGGACAAGCCAAUUAUGUUCUACCCCUGCCAGAAGCUGCAUGUAAUCAUCGUCCCUCAGAAAUCGAGCAUCAAGGACUUCUUCCUUUGUUCUCCCAGGUGUGAAGAGAAAACCAUUUCCCCUUGUGUUCAGAAAUGCACCUUCAGGGGAAUUCUUGGGCAUCUGUGCUGGUUUGUACCAUGAACUCAGAGAUGAACUGGACUGUCUCUUGCUGCUCACCACGUCCUGAGACUUUUCUUCAUUUUCCUCAGUAGUGGCACAUUCAAAGUGCUUGGUUAUGGAUAUCUUUCCCCUCAAGGACAAAGCUGUUCGUGCACUGGGAGUUGGCUGACGCUCUGGAACUGAUGCCGCAGGAUAAUUGUUUACUAAGUCUCCAAUUCUGACAAAAUCAUAUUCAGUGUCAUCUUCAUCUCUUGUUUCUGCUUGAGGAUCUACGUGGGGCACUUUGACUGUUAUGUUUCCCACCACGGCAGAUUUCCUCAGCCACUCACACACAGAGGAGUCACUGGCCGUUUUUGGAAAGAUGCUCCUCGACAGCACUGCAGCAGCACCGCCCUCCCUGCCGCUGUCCAGGGUGCUGCAGCCCGGGCCCACGGGCGGGGCUCCGGCCACCGCCUCCAGCUCCGCCCAGGACGAGCCGGACUCCUCCUCUUUCUCCUUCUUCUCCUCCUCCGACUUGGUAGGAACAGACCAAGACGUGGAGAGGGAUGGAACGGCGUUAUUAUCUAUGUCUGUGUUAUCCACCUUCCCAGCUUUCUUUUCUGAAGAGCUCCUUCCAUGGUGUCUUCUCUCACGCAGCUUUUCUCCACCGAGAGAAGCCUUCUCCACCAGCCUCCCAGCUAGGGGUGUAUCUACCUCUUGGGAAGGUGGAGGAGAUCCCAAAUUGCUAUUUGAAGGCUCUGGAGGACAAGCAUGGCAGGCUCUGCGAGGCAAUGAACGCAAGUAUGCAGCUUGACCAUUUUCAUCAGAUUCCGUUGUGCAACACUGCUCCUCCGCUGAGGCCUUUUCCUGCUGAGACCCUUUGCUGCUAUUAUAGUCCAGUUCCUCCCAGCUGGAGGAGUAACUUGAUUUUGACAGCUUGCACCAAGAAUUCUGUGAAGUAGUCAUUUGACUCCUGUUUUGCCACCUGCUGAAACUGUUUUCAUCAUUUGUUCCUAUUUCUAGUGGUUCAGUCUCUUCAUUAAAGGAAUUUUUCAACACAUCAGAA